RNAcentral lists this ribosomal RNA (405 nucleotides) under uncultured bacterium. RNAcentral's name for it is "partial 16S ribosomal RNA". It matches the Rfam family "Bacterial small subunit ribosomal RNA", at positions 30 to 526 of the family's 1533-position model. The record is from RNAcentral.
AUUGAACGCUAGCGGGAUGCUUAACACAUGCAAGUCGAACGAGUGGCGGACGGGUGAGUAAUAUAUCGGAACGUUCCCAGUAGCGGGGGUUAACUACCCGAAAGCGUGGCUAAAACCGUCUUCUCUAGGAGCGGCCGAUAUCGGAUGAGCUAGUUGGCGGGGUAUAGGCUCACCAAGGCCACGAUCCGUAGCUGGUUUGAGAGGAGGACCAGCCACACGGGGACUGAGACACGGCCCAGACUCCUACGGGAGGCAGCAGUGGGGAAUUUUGGACAAUGGGGGAAAGCCUGAUCCAGCCAUCCCGCGUGUGUGAGAAGGCCUUCGGGUUGUAAAGUACUUUUGGCAGAGAAGCGGUACCGGCAGAAUAAGCACCGGCUAACUACGUGCCAGCAGCCGCGGUAAUUC